Haliotis rufescens (red abalone) is the source of this 2573-nucleotide long non-coding RNA. RefSeq lists it as uncharacterized. The transcript is spliced from 2 exons. Lineage: Eukaryota; Metazoa; Mollusca; Gastropoda; Lepetellida; Haliotidae. The record is from RefSeq and is a predicted model, not a curated record.
UGCCUUUCAAUUCCUGGUUCGGCUUAUCUGCGGGUCAUAUCAUUUUCUUUCGUAUUUCAAUGCUCAAGUUAACACCUCGGCUUAUCUACGGGGUCGGCUUAUCCGCGGUCAUAUACGGUAUGUCAUUCUAGUGUCAGAUGUCAAGGUCAGUUUCAAGGUCACUCAUGAAAUGACUUGUAAUAGCUUGUGAUUGGAUUUUGACAAAACCUUUUUACAUGAUCUUUAGGCAGUUCACAGCCGAGAUUGAAGGUCAAGGUCAUCAAACUGGAAGUGCUUUUAACUUGUUCUUAAGGUAGCUGGAGGCAUGACUUUGUUUCAAAGCUGUACUGCAUUGUCUAUGAGUUUUCCCAAACUGGAAUUGCUCAUGACAUUAUCAUGGUAGCUAGAGACGAAGGUUUUUGUUGCAUUUGGCAUGUGAGGAUGACUGUCACCUGGUGUAGUAAACUCAAAAUAGUUUAUGAUACAUGUGUCUGAUGGGAAAGGUUUGGGGGGAAAGGGUCUGCUUUUGCUUUGUAAUGGAUAUAAUUAUCCAUGAGAACAGCUCAUGUGAUCAGGUAAAUGUAUGUUGAGAAUCCUGGGUAUAACAAAGAAGAGCACAUGGGGGGGGGGGGGGUUUAAUGGCAUUGACUUGAUGUUGAUUACAGUAGUCAUGUUUUUAUGUAUAUGUUUAUCUUAGCUAAUGAAACAUUUUUAAUCAAAGUAAAGUUUGUUAUCUAGUUCAUUGUGUGUGACAGAUUUUAAUGUUGCAAGGUACAUUUCUCCCACAUUCCAGUAUACCCUGACACUGCUUCAAUACCGGCCAGUGUAUGGCUCUAGAUUAUCAGACCUAGUGGUAUCUAGCAGGGUCGAGCAGGCCACUGCAGUGUUUAGUCUGACGUCUACCUAGUGGUACUGCAAUGAAGUAUUUUCAUGGUUUACCAAGAUUCUACCAAAAAUGUUCUUAAACUUGUAAAUUUUUACACUAGCCUAUACACUUGUCUCCUUGUAUACUUAUUGGAAGUGUUGGUAAAUUGCCUUGCACAGUUGUUCUCAAGAGUUGACAUUUCUGUACUUAGACGAUGUAGGCAAUGUAAACCGCUAUCAAUGUAACGCCACCCAACAAGAAUAGGAGAGCUUCUGUUAGGAACAGUUUCUCAUUUGGCAAUCAGACAGUUGUUUUGAAUGGCAGUUUAUUGCAAUGUAAAUAUACCUUCUGACAUUUGUUACCAUUUCUCACGGCUCUUGGCUUCACUACACAGCUAUGAACUGGGGCAAGGGAUGUACACAGGACUACCUGGUCCUGUGGUUAAUUGUUUAUUUCUGAUUAUGCACACAUUGCUUCUGACUUUUAUAUGAUUGAGUAAACUAAAGGUAAAGUUUGCAUGAGCAGAACAUGUUGUAUGUGUAUCUAAGUAGUUUUUGCAAGGGCUGCAGUAAAACACUUUUCAUUCAGAUAUUUUGUACCCAACUCAUGGGACUUAUAGUGGGUACCCAGGUAGGGUCAGGUGAUAGGGUGUCGGGUACCCAGGUAGGGUCAGGUGAUAGGGUGUCGGGUACACAAGUAGGGUACACAAGUAGGGUCAGGUGAUAGGGUGUCGGGUACCCAGGUAGGGUCAGGUGAUAGGGUGUCGGGUACCCAGGUAGGGUCAGGUGAUAGGGUGACGGGUACACAAGUAGGGUACACAAGUAGGGUCAGGUGAUAGGGUGUUGGGUACCCAGGUAGGGUCAGGUGAUAGGGUGUCGGGUACCCAGGUAGGGUCAGGUGAUAGGGUGUCGGGUGCCCGUGUAGUAUGUAUCAUCUACACCAUCAUCUCAACCAUAAGGCUGAAAUGGAAGAUGAAGGAAUUGGUUUCAUGUUUGUCUGUGCUGCUUCUAUAUUUCCAUGAUAGCAGACUACAGGUCCUGCAUGUGUAACAUUCCCUUACCUUACCUCCCUGGCGUGUCUGCCUGCCUGCAGCAGGUGGUAUGGUGUCUGUGUCUGUCCAUCCUUCCCACCACAUCACUGCCUGUACCUCACGCAACUUACUAUGUACAAACUAACAUUGCAAUAUUUUUUGUACAGUUUAUACUUCCUGCACAAAGACUAUUUUUAUGAAUAUUCUCCUAUAUUUGACAUUUUUUACAUGAUGUGCAUGACAGGUGACCUGUUGGUGUAUGCCACUAAUGUGCAUUGACCUGGUAUCUCACCACUGACCACUAGCUACUAGUAUCAAUCACAAAACUGUACACCCAUCCUUGCAUCAAAACAUUCCCAUCUUUGAGAAGCAGCCUUCAAUCAACUUACUAUGUAUAUUACAAUAUCUAGCCCAGUCAUGUACCCCUGGGUAAUGCAUUUCAGUGUGGCUGCAGACAGCUGCUUGUCCCAUGUCUACCAUGUUAAAUGAACAUUAGAAGGUCCCACUGAAGAAACAAUAUGCAGACAAAUAUUUUUCUAAUUUUUGUAUUUGUAUAUCCUGAUGUAAUAAAGUGUUGUCAGUGUACCCAUGUGUGGUACAGUGAAGCUGGUAGCUGUAGUGCUGUGCUGCUGUAUUGUGGUGCUGUCAGACAUGAUGCUGGCCAUCACUCACAAUGUCAGUAAACUUGCUUCACCAUCA